GAGUUUGAUCCUGGCUCAGGAUGAACGCUAGCGGCAGGCUUAACACAUGCAAGUUCGAGGGGUAACAGGUUUUAGUUUACUAGAAUGCUGACGACCGGCGCACGGGUGAGUAACGCGUAUACAAUUUACCUUUUACAGGAGAAUAGCCCAGAGAAAUUUGGAUUAAUGCUCCAUGGUAUUAAUUGAUCACCUGAUCGAUUAAUUAAAGCUUCGGCGGUAAAAGAUGAGUAUGCGUCCUAUUAGCUAGAUGGUAAGGUAACGGCUUACCAUGGCGACGAUAGGUAGGGGUCCUGAGAGGGAGAUCCCCCACACUGGUACUGAGACACGGACCAGACUCCUACGGGAGGCAGCAGUGAGGAAUAUUGGGCAAUGGAGGCAACUCUGACCCAGCCAUGCCGCGUGCAGGAAGACGGCCCUAUGGGUUGUAAACUGCUUUUAUAUAGGAAGAAACUUAUCCACGUGUGGAUAACUGACGGUACUAUAAGAAUAAACACCGGCUAACUCCGUGCCAGCAGCCGCGGUAAUACGGAGGGUGCAAGCGUUAUCCGGAAUCAUUGGGUUUAAAGGGUCCGUAGGCGGGCAAUUAAGUCAGAGGUGAAAUCCCACAGCUCAACUGUGGAACUGCCUUUGAUACUGGUUGUCUUGAGUUAUAGUGAAGUAGAUAGAAUAUGUAGUGUAGCGGUGAAAUGCUUAGAGAUUACAUAGAAUACCGAUUGCGAAGGCAGUCUACUAACUAUAUACUGACGCUAAUGGACGAAAGCGUG
Molecule: ribosomal RNA, 764 nt
Filed under: uncultured bacterium
Lineage: Bacteria
Description: bacterial SSU rRNA
Rfam family: Bacterial small subunit ribosomal RNA
Source: RNAcentral